Molecule: long non-coding RNA, 393 nt
Filed under: Mustela putorius furo (domestic ferret)
Lineage: Eukaryota; Metazoa; Chordata; Mammalia; Carnivora; Mustelidae
Description: lncRNA (ENSMPUG00000029902.1)
Source: RNAcentral
GCGGAGUGCGCGCGUCCGCGACGGGAUCCGGCAGAACCAAAUAUAGUCGAGCCUGGAUAUUUUUAGCCGGGCCUCGGGCGCGAGCCCGCCGCGUGAGGGGGCGCCCUGACCCCGCCAGGAGUGCGGAGGGGGCGGGGGCGGAGUCGCCAUCUUGGACCCGGCUCGACCCUGUCUAGUGACCGGCGGCGCUGGGCCAGGCUCUGCGCAGGGGGUCGGGGUGUGUCUCAAGGACUGAGAGUUCCCUGUGGUUUUGCAUUGCGGAUGCCAGCCUUUGUCAAGUUCUCUGUGCUUCACUGCACACUUUAUCUCAGGGUUGUGUGGAUUCUCAGAAGCUCCCCAGUCCCGGUCCGCUGGUGGAAGGUAGGUCGUUAAGUUCCAUGGAGUGUUACUGCC